ACCUGCCCUUGACUCUGGGAUAAGCCUGGGAAACUGGGUCUAAUACCGGAUAGGACCACUUCUUGGAGGUUGUGGUGGAAAGUUUUUUCGGUGUGGGAUGAGCUCGCGGCCUAUCAGCUUGUUGGUGGGGUAAUGGCCUACCAAGGCGUCGACGGGUAGCCGGCCUGAGAGGGUGUACGGCCACAUUGGGACUGAGAUACGGCCCAGACUCCUACGGGAGGCAGCAGUGGGGAAUUUUCCGCAAUGGGCGAAAGCCUGACGGAGCAACGCCGCGUGAGGGAUGAAGGCCUCUGGGCUGUAAACCUCUUUUAUCAAGGAAGAAGAUCUGACGGUACUUGAUGAAUAAGCCACGGCUAAUUCCGUGCCAGCAGCCGCGGUAAUACGGGAGUGGCAAGCGUUAUCCGGAAUUAUUGGGCGUAAAGCGUCCGCAGGCGGCCCUACAAGUCUGCUGUUAAAAAGUGGAGCUUAACUCCAUCAUGGCAGUGGAAACUGUUGGGCUUGAGUGUGGUAGGGGCAGAGGGAAUUCCCGGUGUAGCGGUGAAAUGCGUAGAUAUCGGGAAGAA
Molecule: ribosomal RNA, 563 nt
Filed under: Ctenophora environmental sample
Lineage: Eukaryota; Metazoa; Ctenophora
Description: partial Bacterial small subunit ribosomal RNA
Rfam family: Bacterial small subunit ribosomal RNA
Source: RNAcentral